Molecule: long non-coding RNA, 465 nt
Organism: Hippocampus zosterae (dwarf seahorse)
Lineage: Eukaryota; Metazoa; Chordata; Actinopteri; Syngnathiformes; Syngnathidae
Exons: 2
Source: RefSeq, a predicted model, not a curated record
AGGAGACAGGUAUGACCUGCUUUGAGCAAGAAACGACAUAUUGCACACAUUUCAAAGACCCUCAAGACCGGUGGGAAGACAGUGGGGGGAAACGCCCCGGUGAUGUUGGGGAAUCUACAGCCCCUUUGAUCAAGACUCCUAUGCAAUUAAAAAAAAAAAAAUCUUAAAGGGAGUGUUUUUAAAAGGCACCGAAAACCCCUUACUUGAACCGUGUUUCAGAUUCACUAAUUCAUGACGAGCCAUCAAGAACUUGAGGACUUCAAUUGGCCCCAACGGAAGGAAUUCAUCGUAGCAGCUGUCACCUGACAGCCACUUUAAAUCAUUUCAUAUCGAGAUUUGGGCCAAAUUGGAAGAAUUAAAAAAAAGACAAAAAGAAAAAACAACGCCAAGGUUUCGCAAAACAAAAGUAAAUUUAAUGGUUUGAGCUGAAAAGUGAAACAACGAACCAAAAAAAAUAAUAAUAAA